Molecule: ribosomal RNA, 516 nt
Filed under: uncultured bacterium
Lineage: Bacteria
Description: partial 16S ribosomal RNA
Source: RNAcentral
GGAGUUAGCCGGUGCUUCUUCUGCGAGUAACGUCACAGAUGUAAGGUAUUAACUUACACCCUUUCCUCCUCGCUGAAAGUGCUUUACAACCCGAAGGCCUUCUUCACACACGCGGCAUGGCUGCAUCAGGGUUUCCCCCAUUGUGCAAUAUUCCCCACUGCUGCCUCCCGUAGGAGUCUGGGCCGUGUCUCAGUCCCAGUGUGGCUGAUCAUCCUCUCAGACCAGCUAGGGAUCGUCGCCUAGGUGAGCCUUUACCUCACCUACUAGCUAAUCCCACCUGGGCUUAUCCAUCAGCGCAAGGCCCGAAGGUCCCCUGCUUUCCCCCGUAGGGCGUAUGCGGUAUUAGCAGUCGUUUCCAACUGUUAUCCCCCACAAAUGGGCAAAUUCCCAGGCAUUACUCACCCGUCCGCCGCUCGUCAUCUUCAAAAGCAAGCUUUUGAAAUGUUACCGCUCGACUUGCAUGUGUUAGGCCUGCCGCCACGCGUACAAUCUGAGCCGACGGAGUACAACUACUGA